UUUACGGGGAGCUUGCGAUUGAGCGGGCUGAGAGUAGGCUGUUUGCCUUGACCCAUAACCUGAUUUGGAUAAUGCCAACGUAGGGAAUCUUAUUUU
Molecule: non-coding RNA, 96 nt
Filed under: uncultured Treponema sp.
Lineage: Bacteria; Pseudomonadati; Spirochaetota; Spirochaetia; Treponematales; Treponemataceae
Source: RNAcentral